GCCUAGACAGAUGUGGCAGCUAUAGUCAAGAGCCAUGGGGUUGUCUGAAGAGACCUGGGUACAGUGUUGGAAGAGGCUGAAUGACCUCCUCUCUGCAAAGGUAAAAUGGAGUUGAUUAGAGAAAGAGAGAUGUGACCCCAUAUGAAAUCUGCUUGGAUACAAACCCAUGCGACGUGGUUUUUAUGGGGGCAGAGGCCCAGGUCAAAGCUUAUUGAAGAUAAGGUACACAUUUUAACACCUGGACACAAAGGAGGCGGCAGCUGGUCUUGCUGUGCCCGAACUCUCAGGCUUAGUCAAACACAGAGACUUGGGAAAGAUGACCAAAAAAAAGCUGCUGCUAUACUAAACAGAUGAAAAGGACUGUUUUUGAAUUAACGACCAAGCAGUAUGUUGAUGAGGACAGAUUCCUUGUUCAAAGAGGCGAGGCUUAUGGAGUGUUAAAGACUAAGGAGUCCCCAGAGGUGCCUUUCUACAGAAGACCCAGUUGAUUAACAGAAGAUUGAGUGAAGAGACUUUCUUUUAAAAGGACACUGAAGAUUAACCUCGGUGGGGCAAGGAAAAGAGAUCCCGUUGAAUCUGGGUAGACCUUGGGACUUUAAAUACAAGGUCACAUCUCUGCUGAAAGUGUGGUGUAAUGCAUAAAUGUGGUGUGAAGUUUUCAAUUAUGUUAAGAAGUCAAUGGGGAGUACCUUUUCUAGAGUUUGGCAUAUAAGGGGCUGAUCAUUUAAAACUGAGAUGAGGAGAACUUUCUUCACUCAAAAUGUUGUGAAUCCUUGGAAUUCUCUAUCCCAAAGGAUUGUGGAUGCUCCAUUAAGGCUGCGGUACACAGAUUUUUGGUCUCUAAGGGAAUUAAGGGAUAUGGGGAACUGACAGGAAAAUGGAGAUGAAACCUAAGAUCAGUCAUGAUUAUACUAAAUGGUGAAGCAGGCAAGAUGGGCCAUGUGGUCUACUCCUGCUCCUAUUUCCUAUUUUCUUACAUACUAAGUAGAGCUUAGUUGAUGUUGAUUUUAGUAUUUUAGUUUGUUUGCUACAGGAAAGUCUAAAAUUCUAUUGUCUAGUGUGUGUGUGUGUGUGUGUUUUUCCUGAGUAAACUUGGCUGAACCUGGCAGUAUUACUGAACUAUGCUUCUGAAAAUCUUCAUAUUGAAAUUACCACUAUGAUUUGUCUAACAGUGGGAGAUGCAAUUACAUUUAUAAGUACUUCCAAUAACUGAAGAGGUAGACAAUCUAAUAUGAUGCAAUAUAAUGUCGCCUCAAUUAUUUUCAAAAUUAAUGUUAGAAUUCUAAAACAUGGUUAUUUUGAAAUACAAAUUGAAGGGAUUUUAAGGAGCAUAAACAAAUUUAAACUAAAAACAGGAGGUAUUAUUACAAAUAUUGAAUUGCAUUAUCUCAGAUGUGAUUAAUAUGGGGACAGUAUAUGGGGAACGUAAUUACUCCUGUGCAGAAUAUAUAGUGAUCCUGUCAGUCCUUGGUAGAAGACAAGGUGUAUAUACCUUUUGGUAUAUUGUGAGGAGGCGAUGGCGUAGUGAUAUUGUCAUGGGACAAUAAUCCAGAGACCCAGGGUAAUGCUCUGGGGACUGGGGUUCAAAUCCUGCCACAGCACAUGGUGGAAUUUAAAUACAAUAAAAAAUCUGGAAUUAAAAGUCCAAUGAAGCAGGCAAGAUGAGCCAUGCGGUCUACUCCUGCUCUUAUUUCCUUAAGUACUAAGUGGUGUUUAGUCGAUGUUGAUUUUAGUAUUUUAGUUUGUUUGUUACAGUAAAAAUCUAAAAUCCUGUUGUCAAUGGAUACAAACCUAUGCGACGUGGUGUGUGUAUGUAUUUUUCCUUAGUAAACUUGGCUGAACCUGGUAAUAUUACUGUAAUAUGCUACUGAAAGUCUUUAUAUUGAAAUUACCACUAUGAUUUGUCCAUUGUCGAUUGUUGUAAAAACCCAUCUGGUUCAUUAA
Molecule: long non-coding RNA, 1944 nt
Organism: Carcharodon carcharias (great white shark)
Lineage: Eukaryota; Metazoa; Chordata; Chondrichthyes; Lamniformes; Lamnidae
Exons: 2
Source: RefSeq, a predicted model, not a curated record